CCUACGGGAGGCAGCAGUAGGGAAUCUUCCACAAUGGGCGAAAGCCUGACGGAGCAACGCCGCGUGGGUGAUGAAGGUCUUCGGAUCGUAAAACUCUGUUGUUAGAGAAGAAAGUGCGUGAGAGUAACUGUUCACGUUUCGACGGUACCUAACCAGAAAGCCACGGCUAACUACGUGCCAGCAGCCGCGGUAAUACGUAGGUGGCAAGCGUUAUCCGGAUUUAUUGGGCGUAAAGGGCACGCAGGCGGUCUUUUAAGUCUGAUGUGAAAGCCCACGGCUUAACCGGGGAAGUGCAUUGGAAACUGGGAGACUUGAGUGCAGAAGAGGAGAGUGGAACUCCAUGUGUAGCGGUGAAAUGCGUAGAGAUAUGGAGGAACACCAGUGGCGAAGGCGACUCUCUGGUCUGUAACUGACGCUGAGGUUCGAAAGCGUGGGUAGCAAACAGGAUUAGAUACCCCUGUAGUC
RNAcentral lists this ribosomal RNA (465 nucleotides) under uncultured bacterium. Its description in RNAcentral is "partial 16S ribosomal RNA". It matches the Rfam family "Bacterial small subunit ribosomal RNA", at positions 338 to 795 of the family's 1533-position model. The record is from RNAcentral.